This 402-nucleotide ribosomal RNA is filed under the name Bacteroidota bacterium. Its description in RNAcentral is "Bacteroidetes bacterium partial 16S ribosomal RNA". It matches the Rfam family "Bacterial small subunit ribosomal RNA", at positions 355 to 776 of the family's 1533-position model. Lineage: Bacteria; Pseudomonadati; Bacteroidota. The record is from RNAcentral.
UGGGGAAUAUUGCACAAUGGGGGAAACCCUGAUGCAGCGACGCCGCGUGAGCGAAGAAGGCCCUCGGGUCGUAAAGCUCUUUUAUAUGGGAAGAUAAUGACGGUACCAUAAGAAAAAGCCCCGGCUAACUACGUGCCAGCAGCCGCGGUAAUACGUAGGGGGCUAGCGUUGUCCGGAAUCACUGGGCGUAAAGGGUUCGCAGGCGGCAAUGCAAGUCAGAUGAAAAGGCAAAGGCUCAACCUUCGUAAGCAUCUGAAACUGUAUAGCUUGAGAAGUGUAGCGGCAAGUGGAAUUUUUAGUGUAGCGGUGAAAUGCGUAGAUAUUAAAAAGAAUACCGGUGGCGAAGGCGACUUGCUGGGCACAAUCUGACGCUGAGGAACGAAAGCGUGGGGAGCAAACAGG